CACAGCGGUUAUAAAAUCUGUUACUUUCUGUGCUUGGAUUGGAAAUGGCGAUGAAAUCAACAAGUGUCAUUGCAAUUGCUGUGGUGCUGCUGGUUCUCUUGGGGGGUGCGAUGCAAGCUGAAGCUGCUGGACAGCGGGCGCUCCUCCAGCGAGUUUGCCCAGCUGUGUGCCAGUACACUCGAGUGGUUUGCGGAGGCGUUCUGAAUAGGAAUGCAUGCUUUAACUCUUGCAAUCUCCCGCGAGGAUGCCGACCAGUGUGAUCUGAUCCACAGUCCCACGUUAUCCCAUCAAUAAAGAGCUAUCUUGUUUGUUAUGGUACCA
Selaginella moellendorffii is the source of this 321-nucleotide long non-coding RNA. RefSeq lists it as uncharacterized. The transcript is spliced from 3 exons. NCBI's taxonomy places the organism in Eukaryota, Viridiplantae, Streptophyta, Lycopodiopsida, Selaginellales, Selaginellaceae. The record is from RefSeq and is a predicted model, not a curated record.